AUUGAACGCUGGCGGCAGGCCUAACACAUGCAAGUCGAACGAGUGGCGGACGGGUGAGUAAUGUCUGGGAAACUGCCUGAUGGAGGGGGAUAACUACUGGAAACGGUAGCUAAUACAGCAUACCAUCGGAUGUGCCCAGAUGGGAUUAGCUAGGAGGUGGGGUAAAGGAUCACCUAGGCGACGAUCCCUAGCUGGUCUGAGAGGAUGACCGGCCACACUGCAACUUAUACACGGUCCAUCCGCCUAAGGGAGGCAGCAGUGUGGAAUAUUGCACAAUGGGCGACAGCCUGAUGCAGUCAUGCCGCGUGUAUGAAGAAGGCUUUCGGGUUGUAAAGUACUUUCAGCGGGGAGGCGUUACCCGCAGAAGAAGCACCGGCUAACUCCGUGCCAGCAGCCGCGGUAAUAC
RNAcentral lists this ribosomal RNA (406 nucleotides) under uncultured bacterium. Its description in RNAcentral is "partial 16S ribosomal RNA". It matches the Rfam family "Bacterial small subunit ribosomal RNA", at positions 30 to 526 of the family's 1533-position model. The record is from RNAcentral.